RNAcentral lists this ribosomal RNA (478 nucleotides) under uncultured bacterium. RNAcentral's name for it is "partial 16S ribosomal RNA". It matches the Rfam family "Bacterial small subunit ribosomal RNA", at positions 29 to 523 of the family's 1533-position model. The record is from RNAcentral.
AACAAACGCUGGCGGCGUGCCUAAUACAUGCAAGUCGAACGGGGAAAGUAGCAAUAUGAGUACUAGUGGCGCACGGGUGAGGAAUACAUGGGUAAUCUGCCUUCAAGUUUGGGAUAACCAGUCGAAAGAUUGGCUAAUACCGGAUAAGACCACAUGAACUGCGGUUCAAGAGGUCAAAGGUUUUUCGCUUGAAGAUGAGCCCAUGUGGGAUUAGCUAGUUGGUGAGGUAAUGGCUCACCAAGGCGACGAUCCCUAACUGGUCUUAGAGGAUGAUCAGUCACACUGGAACUGAGACACGGUCCAGACUCCUACGGGAGGCAGCAGUAGGGAAUAUUGCGCAAUGGGGGAAACCCUGACGCAGCGACGCCGCGUGAGUGAUGAAGGCCUUCGGGUCGUAAAGCUCUGUCGUGUGGGACUAACAAAAUGAAGGUACCAUGCAAGAAAGGAUCGGCUAACUUCGUGCCAGCCGCCGCGGUAA